UGGGGAAUAUUGGACAAUGGGCGAAAGCCUGAUCCAGCCAUGCCGCGUGUGUGAAGAAGGCCUUUUGGUUGUAAAGCACUUUAAGUGGGGAGGAAAAGCUUAUGGUUAAUACCCAUAAGCCCUGACGUUACCCACAGAAUAAGCACCGGCUAACUCUGUGCCAGCAGCCGCGGUAAUACAGAGGGUGCAAGCGUUAAUCGGAAUUACUGGGCGUAAAGCGCGCGUAGGUGGUUAUUUAAGUCAGAUGUGAAAGCCCCGGGCUUAACCUGGGAACUGCAUCUGAUACUGGAUAACUAGAGUAAGUGAGAGGGGAGUAGAAUUCCAGGUGUAGCGGUGAAAUGCGUAGAGAUCUGGAGGAAUACCGAUGGCGAAGGCAGCUCCCUGGCAUCAUACUGACACUGAGGUGCGAAAGCGUGGGUAGCAAACAGGAUUAGAUACCCUGGUAGUCCACGCCGUAAACGAUGUCUACCAGUCGUUGGGUCUUUUAAAGACUUAGUGACGCAGUUAACGCAAUAAGUAGACCGCCUGGGGAGUACGGCCGCAAGGUUA
RNAcentral lists this ribosomal RNA (549 nucleotides) under uncultured bacterium. RNAcentral describes it as "bacterial SSU rRNA". It matches the Rfam family "Bacterial small subunit ribosomal RNA", at positions 355 to 896 of the family's 1533-position model. The record is from RNAcentral.